This is a non-coding RNA of Labrus bergylta (ballan wrasse), 820 nucleotides long. Lineage: Eukaryota; Metazoa; Chordata; Actinopteri; Labriformes; Labridae. The record is from RefSeq and is a predicted model, not a curated record.
AUGAAAGACCUAUUCACCGGUAUUUCUGUGAGAAUCAAGGAUGUGCAGCCAAUUUGAAAUCUGUGUAUUGCAAUAAUACACAGCUCUUGAUGGAGCUUGACCCUGUCAUCCCAAAUUGCACAGGAUUUCCACCAAUCAACAGUGUCUGUAAGCAUGAUGGCCGGGCCUUUGUUUCCACUUAUACAGAUGGUAGUUGUGAGUUUGAAGGUGAAGGUCAUCUUGCAUCAGACAAAUGUCAAGACAACAACACCAUUUGUGCUUUCGGCAGAGUAUCAUCAGCCGCUGAAAAUGAUACCCAAACUAGAUCUUCAGAUAAUAUUGGUCUAAUUGUUGGUAAGUUCUGAACACGAGCAAAUCUGUAGAAUUUUUCCUGCUUACACUUUGUGUCCUCUGCUUGCUGAUAAGCUAACAUCUCCAGAAGACAAUCAGUGUCUUCCAUUUAUGCUGUUUGUUUGACUGGAGAAAAUAAUGCUUUUGGCUACUAACACAAAUGGCUCUCCUCUGCCAUCCUUUUGUCUUCUUGCUUUCACGAAGUGCUCAAAUAUUUGUCUUGCAAAUACUAAAAAUCAGGCCCCAGUAUAGCAGCAGCAGCAGUAGUAGUAGUAGUAGUACUAGUCAUUGGACUUACCUUGUAUUUCAAAACUAAUAUAUGCAAAAAAAAAACAGCAGGAGAUGUCCGAUAUAGAGGUGCAACCAGGAGAGAAUGACAACACAGAAACUAGUGAAAGAGAAUCUCUCAGAGGUCCUGGAUUGGCUGAUGAUGACACCUCCCACGAUUGCUCAGUUUGGCUGGACGGCCAGGUCUAGGAAGAGUUCUGGU